AGUACCGUGAGGGAAAGGCGAAAAGAACCCCGGGAGGGGAGUGAAAUAGAUCCUGAAACCGCAUGCAUACAAUCAGUAGGAGCCUCGUAAGGGGUGACUGCGUACCUUUUGUAUAAUGGGUCAGCGACUUACAUUCCAGUAGCAAAGCCUUAACCGAAAUAGGGAAAGGCGUAGCGAAAAGCGAGUCCCGAAUUAGGGCGUUAGUUGCCUGGGUGUAGACCCGAAACCCAGUUGAUCCUAUUCCAUGGGCCCAGGUUUGAAGGGUGCGGUAACCCCGUACUGGAGGGACCCGAACCCACCUAACCGUUGAAAAAGUUAGGGGAUGAGCUGUGGAUAGGGGUGAAAGGGCUAAACAAACUGGAAAUAGCUGGUUCUCUCCGAAAACUAUUUAGGUAGUGCCUCGUGUAUCACCAUAGGGGGUAGAGCACUGUCAUGAUUGUGGGGUCCAUUGCGGGAUUACCGCGUCAUAGCAAACUCCGAAUACCUAUGAGUGCAAGCACGGGAGACAGACAUCGGGUGCUAACGUCCGGUGUCAAGAGGGAAACAAGCCAGACCGCCAGCUAAGGUCCCUAAUAUAUGCUAAGUGGGAAACGAAGUGGGAAGGCUAAAACAGUCAGGAGGUUGGCUUAGAAGCAGCCAU
RNAcentral lists this ribosomal RNA (640 nucleotides) under uncultured bacterium. RNAcentral describes it as "bacterial LSU rRNA". It matches the Rfam family "Bacterial large subunit ribosomal RNA", at positions 497 to 1119 of the family's 2925-position model. The record is from RNAcentral.